Molecule: unclassified non-coding RNA, 288 nt
Filed under: uncultured fungus
Lineage: Eukaryota; Fungi
Description: partial contains 5.8S rRNA and ITS2
Source: RNAcentral
AACGCAACUGGCGCCGGUUUACCGGCAUGCCUGUUUCCGUGUGCUUGGAGAGUAAACUAUCAUUCUAAAAAAUAAUGCGAUUGCGGUAAAUUUAUUGUCUUCUUUCGUUAAAUAUGAAGGUGUGAAAGAUCAGUAAUCACUCACUCUGGAAAACGAAGUAGUCAUGCUUAUUCGUGAUCUCGUUUAACAAGUGCUAAAGGUUAUUGCUUAGCUAUAAAUCCCAUCUAAUCAAUAAAAUAUCUCCAAGAAUAGCAUCUGAAAUCAGAUAAGGAUACCCGCUGAGCUUAA